GCAAGACGAGUCGCAGGCAGGAUCCGGCCACGCUGGCCAAGGCCACUCUCGGCCUCUUGGAAGGGGGCUGAGGAAAAGACCCCGGAAAAGACGCUGGCUUUGGGGUGGGGAGAACCUCUUCUUCCCCUUCUUCUCCUCUGGCAAUCAUCAAUCACAGAAAAUUAGUCACCACAACAUCUGCCUCGCGCCAUAAAAGGUCAAGGAAAGGGAUUGCAAAAACACGCACAGAGAGAGAGAGAAAAUAGGAGACGCAGCAGCAGAAGGGAGAGAGGGAGGACAGAACCCAGAAAGGAAAGACGUCCAGGCGCGCGCGCGCAAAGUUUUCUCUCCGCGGAUCUCCUCUCUCGGCCGGCUUUCGGGUCGCCAUUGGUGGUUCGGCGUGGCAAUCAAUACUUUGUAGCGGGGAAGGAAGCAACAAGCGGCGGCCGAGGAGGCUUGGCAGAACCGGGGGGAAGGCGCGCCUGCCCGGCACAGAGCGCACGGGGGCUCCGUUUGCGCUUCCUCCAGCCGCCUCUCUCUCUCUUUGCAGCCUCUAUUGUUUGUCCAGCCCUCCAGGGUGGGAGAUUUCUCCUCCUCUCGGGAUUUGUGCAGAGUUUGCUGCAACUCCCCUUUGUCCUCGGCGCGCUCUCGGCUCUCGGCUCUCCGCCCCGUCCAGCCCUCUCUCCUCCAGGGCGCUCUCUCUCUCCGCUUCUGCAAGCCAGGAAACUUCGGCAGUUUGCAAAGAGGGAGAAGAAGGAGGCAUGGGGGGCCGGAGGAGGCUGAGCGAGGCCGGGCCGGGCUGCUGCAGGAGCUGGUCCUCGGAUCCGCUGGGCCAGGCGGCGCCGGCUUGGCUUGCGCUGCUAGUGCCGUUGUUGCUGUUGCUGCUGGCGGCUCACGGCCAGGAGGAGCCUUCGUGCAAAGGAGCCUACGACCUGUACUUCGUCCUGGACAAGU
This is a non-coding RNA of Podarcis lilfordi (Lilford's wall lizard), 933 nucleotides long. The record is from the annotation of a GenBank genome assembly. Lineage: Eukaryota; Metazoa; Chordata; Lepidosauria; Squamata; Lacertidae.